AUUGAACGCUGGCGGCAUGCCUUACACAUGCAAGUCGAACGGUAACAGGUCUUCGGAUGCUGACGAGUGGCGAACGGGUGAGUAAUACAUCGGAACGUGCCUAGUAGUGGGGGAUAACUACUCGAAAGAGUGGCUAAUACCGCAUGAGAUCUACGGAUGAAAGCAGGGGAUCGCAAGACCUUGUGCUACUAGAGCGGCCGAUGGCAGAUGAGGUAGUUGGUGGGAUAAAAGCUUACCAAGCCGACGAUCUGUAGCUGGUCCGAGAGGACGAUCAGCCACAAUGGGACUGAGACACGGCCCAGACUCCUACGGGAGGCAGCAGUGGGGAAUUUUGGACAAUGGGCGCAAGCCUGAUCCAGCAAUGCCGCGUGCAGGAUGAAGGCCUUCGGGUUGUAAACUGCUUUUGUACGGAACGAAAAGCCCCGGGUUAAUACCCUGGGGUCAUGACGGUACCGUAAGAAUAAGCACCGGCUAACUACGUGCCAGCCGCCGCCGUAA
RNAcentral lists this ribosomal RNA (498 nucleotides) under uncultured bacterium. RNAcentral's name for it is "partial 16S ribosomal RNA". It matches the Rfam family "Bacterial small subunit ribosomal RNA", at positions 30 to 523 of the family's 1533-position model. The record is from RNAcentral.